AAGUCGUAACAAGGUUUCCGUAGGUGAACCUGCGGAAGGAUCAUUAUCGUAGGGCUUCGGCCCUGUCGAGAUAGAACCCUUGCCUUUAUGAGUACCGUCCGUUUCCUCGGCAGGCCCGCCUGCCGAUGGACCCAAAACCAAGCCAUUCCAUUUCUACCUACGUGUAUCAGUCUGAAAAAAGUAAACAAAAAAGUUAAAAAG
RNAcentral lists this unclassified non-coding RNA (201 nucleotides) under plant metagenome. RNAcentral's name for it is "partial contains small subunit ribosomal RNA and internal transcribed spacer 1". The stretch from base 1 to 46 matches the Rfam family "Eukaryotic small subunit ribosomal RNA", at positions 1786 to 1831 of the family's 1831-position model. The record is from RNAcentral.